UUAGGAAUCUUGCGCAAUGGGAGAAAUCCUGACGCAGCAACGCCGCGUGAGGGAUGACGGCCUUCGGGUUGUAAACCUCUUUUAGCAGGGAAAAACACAAUGAUGGUACCUGCAGAAAAAGCACCGGCUAACUCUGUGCCAGCAGCCGCGGUAAUACAGAGGGUGCAAGCGUUAUUCGGAAUUAUUGGGCGUAAAGAGCGCGUAGGCGGUUUGAUAAGUCUGAUGUGAAAACCCUGGGCUCAAUCCAGGAAGUGCAUUGGAUACUGUCAGGCUAGAGUACAGGAGAGGUGGGCGGAAUUCCUGGUGUAGAGGUGAAAUUCGUAGAUAUCAGGAGGAACAACAGUGGCGAAGGCGGCUCACUAGACUGUAACUGACGCUGAGGCGCGAAAGCGUGGGGAGCAAACAGGAUUAGAUACCCCAGUAGUCCCUGAGCGGGCUGGCAAGGCGCAU
This 450-nucleotide ribosomal RNA is filed under the name uncultured bacterium. RNAcentral's name for it is "bacterial SSU rRNA". It matches the Rfam family "Bacterial small subunit ribosomal RNA", at positions 355 to 825 of the family's 1533-position model. The record is from RNAcentral.